This 214-nucleotide unclassified non-coding RNA is filed under the name Hevea brasiliensis (rubber tree). Lineage: Eukaryota; Viridiplantae; Streptophyta; Magnoliopsida; Malpighiales; Euphorbiaceae. The record is from RNAcentral.
UUAAUUAACUUACUUGGGCGAGUUUAUAUCAUUUCCCCAAAUUUUUUAAUUUAAUUUUGGAGCAGGAAUUCAUAUAAACUCGCCCAAGUAAGUUAAUUAAAUGCUAAAUACUGAAUACAUAUGCUUCUCAUUUGUAAUAAAUGACAGGCAUAUUUGAAUUAACAUCCCAAAUGCCUCCCUCUCUCACAUACUCUAAAUACCUUGUAAAUUCCGG